CGGGCUCAUAACCCGAAGGUCGUAGGUUCAAAUCCUGCCCCCGCAACCA
This 49-nucleotide transfer RNA is filed under the name Pseudomonas sp. RNAcentral describes it as "tRNA-Leu". It matches the Rfam family "tRNA", at positions 27 to 71 of the family's 71-position model. From Rfam's summary of the family: Transfer RNA (tRNA) molecules are approximately 80 nucleotides in length. Their secondary structure includes four short double-helical elements and three loops (D, anti-codon, and T loops). Lineage: Bacteria; Pseudomonadati; Pseudomonadota; Gammaproteobacteria; Pseudomonadales; Pseudomonadaceae. The record is from RNAcentral.